Long non-coding RNA from Dreissena polymorpha, 881 nucleotides. RefSeq lists it as uncharacterized. The record is from RefSeq and is a predicted model, not a curated record. NCBI's taxonomy places the organism in Eukaryota, Metazoa, Mollusca, Bivalvia, Myida, Dreissenidae. The transcript is spliced from 4 exons.
CUAAUAUUAUUAGUGAUCUUUAACCUUAAUUAUGCGGGGUUGUCUUGUUCACACGUCACUUAACUUUGCACGCGCUGUUACCGAUAGCAGUUUUCAGGAAAGUAAAAUGUUUAUUUAAAAAGUGCAGGUUAAAACAGUGCGUUUAAGGCGAUAGUGCAACUUGCAGUUGGUAGCUUUAAUUUCUGUAUUCGGAAUAGUUGCAGACAUGUUUUUUCGUGAUUUAUUCGCUCGACUGCACCCGCACAAUGAAAUUUGCCAAUGGGCGAAUGGAUAAUGUCGGAGAAACCCGAGGCCAUGAUAGCUGUACUUCUCAAGGACACAAUAGAUAAGUAUUAAAGAAAUCGCAGUUAAGGAGGUAGUGGUGUUCGGUGCCAACCUGACCCGAAUUAUAUAGCCUGCAGACUCUAUCUUCAAAUGGGGUUCCGUCGUAUCGGCCUGUCUCGAUUGGAAACCAGUGGUUAGCAGUCCUGAAUUGGAAUAGGUGCUGGUGGAUGCUUGAUGGAAGACUGAUUGCAGCUCAUCAGUUAUGUGCUCUAUGGUCUGCUGCGAUUUGGGCUGUUUUCCCGUAGAAUGCCACAGCGUUUAAGUUCUCAUCUAGAUGUGACGACAUUCGCUGUGUGCAGUCACCUGUUUGUCACGAUUAAAUAUGCGUUCAGUACAUAUAACUCAACACCGAACUUUUUUUGUCGGAGUACAUUAAAAAAAAACAUAUUAACUUAUGCUUGUUUCCUUAUGGGGUUUUUACAAUGAACUAUGAAUUAUAUCAAUUGCUUUAUAAAUUCAGUUUUGUUAGGAUUCAAUUUAAUGUUGGCUGUGUUCAUGCUAGUAUAACAUGUCACGUAAUCGCUUAUUGUUCGUGGCGAACACAAAGUACAAACAAA